This 253-nucleotide ribosomal RNA is filed under the name uncultured bacterium. RNAcentral describes it as "partial 16S ribosomal RNA". It matches the Rfam family "Bacterial small subunit ribosomal RNA", at positions 524 to 776 of the family's 1533-position model. The record is from RNAcentral.
UACAGAGGUCUCAAGCGUUGUUCGGAUUCAUUGGGCGUAAAGGGUGCGUAGGCGGCGCGGAAAGUGGGGUGUGAAAGCCCUCGGCUCAACCGAGGAAUUGCGCUCCAAACUACCGUGCUCGAGGGAGAUAGAGGUUAGCGGAACUUCGGGUGGAGCGGUGAAAUGCGUUGAUAUCCGAAGGAACACCGGUGGCGAAAGCGGCUAACUGGGUCUUCUCUGACGCUGAUGCACGAAAGCCAGGGUAGCAAACGGG